This 468-nucleotide ribosomal RNA is filed under the name uncultured bacterium. RNAcentral describes it as "partial 16S ribosomal RNA". It matches the Rfam family "Bacterial small subunit ribosomal RNA", at positions 28 to 507 of the family's 1533-position model. The record is from RNAcentral.
GACGAACGCUGGCGGCGUGCUUAACACAUGCAAGUCGAACGGAAAGGCCCUGCUUUUGUGGGGUGCUCGAGUGGCGAACGGGUGAGUAACACGUGAGUAACCUGCCCUUGACUUUGGGAUAACUUCAGGAAACUGGGGCUAAUACCGGAUAGGAGCUCCUGCUGCAUGGAGGGGGUUGGAAAGUUUCGGCGGUUGGGGAUGGACUCGCGGCUUAUCAGCUUGUUGGUGGGGUAGUGACUUACCAAGGCUUUGACGGGUAGCCGGCCUGAGAGGGUGACCGGCCACAUUGGGACUGAGAUACGGCCCAGACUCCUACGGGAGGCAGCAGUGGGGAAUAUUGCACAAUGGGCGGAAGCCUGAUGCAGCAACGCCGCGUGCGGGAUGACGGCCUUCGGGUUGUAAACCGCUUUCGCCUGUGACGAAGCGUGAGUGACGGUAAUGGGUAAAGAAGCACCGGCUAACUACGUG